GCGAUGAGCUAUUUGCGUAAGCCGAAAACCGAGCGUUCGCUAAACGUAUGAAUGUGGUCAUACGGGUUAUUCGCCGCAAAACUUUUUUUGAAAGACGCCUACGGAUUUAGGCGUCUUUU
RNAcentral lists this small RNA (119 nucleotides) under Heyndrickxia sporothermodurans. RNAcentral's name for it is "Bacillus sporothermodurans BsrF". It matches the Rfam family "BsrF". The record is from Rfam by way of RNAcentral. Lineage: Bacteria; Bacillati; Bacillota; Bacilli; Caryophanales; Bacillaceae.